Molecule: transfer RNA, 81 nt
Filed under: Colletotrichum noveboracense
Lineage: Eukaryota; Fungi; Ascomycota; Sordariomycetes; Glomerellales; Glomerellaceae
Description: tRNA-Ser
Rfam family: tRNA
About the family: Transfer RNA (tRNA) molecules are approximately 80 nucleotides in length. Their secondary structure includes four short double-helical elements and three loops (D, anti-codon, and T loops). Further hydrogen bonds mediate the characteristic L-shaped molecular structure. tRNAs have two regions of fundamental functional importance: the anti-codon, which is responsible for specific mRNA codon recognition, and the 3' end, to which the tRNAs corresponding amino acid is attached (by aminoacyl-tRNA synthetases). tRNAs cope with the degeneracy of the genetic code in two manners: having more than one tRNA (with a specific anti-codon) for a particular amino acid; and 'wobble' base-pairing, i.e. permitting non-standard base-pairing at the 3rd anti-codon position.
Source: RNAcentral
GGCGAAGUGUCCGAGUGGUCAAGGAGUUUGACUCGAAAUCAAAUGGCUUCGGCCGCGCAAGUUCGAAUCUUGUCUUCGUCG